GAAUGGGGCGAGGGCAGAGAUUUGACUGUUGCCUCCUUUUGCGUUUUGAUGGGGUAGGGGUGGAGGAUGCUUGCUGUGUCCCCAGCACUGAACUGAUGGAAAAUUUGGACGUUCUGUUCGCAGGUGGUGCAGGGGAUGUUGUACCAUGUGGAGAUGGUGCUGGGCCGGACUACCUGCAAGAAGGCAAUGGGAAGAAAUGUCAACCUUGAGAGUUGCAGCCUCCAGGCGGAUCAGCAGAACGGCGCGAUGCCAGUCUGUACAUUCCAAGUCUGGGAUCAGGCAUGGAUUCCUUCGAAGGAGGUGAGCGGAUUUAGCUGCGUACUCUGAACUCCAUCUCGUCUCCGUACAGGCCAGAACAGAAGAAUGCUUCGCAAAAUGCAUUAAUAAGAAAUCACCGUCUCAGAUCUGAGGGAGUCAAGAGUGUCGCUGCAAUAGGUGUGACUGUUCUGACACAUCACCUGCACCUGGGCAAACACCAUGUAAUAUUAGACAGUUCUGUCUCUUUCAGGGGAAACACUGCUGCAACUAACAUACACAGUUAUAUCAACUGCUUCCAGCUUUGUUUCAAGCUCUUUGAGCAGUGCCGAAGUCAACUCUGAUCUAACAACAUGACAGUGUACUAAACUUGGGCGGAUGGAGUCUCCUUUGGGGCUCAGCACAUCCACUGCUGCUUGCUCGGUAGCUAUCCAGUUGUAAGCACACUGUUACAUAUUUAUAUUCAUUACCCAAAUAAACUUACUUCCGAGUAUAAUCAAAUGCA
Rhincodon typus (whale shark) is the source of this 760-nucleotide long non-coding RNA. RefSeq lists it as uncharacterized. Lineage: Eukaryota; Metazoa; Chordata; Chondrichthyes; Orectolobiformes; Rhincodontidae. The transcript has 2 exons. The record is from RefSeq and is a predicted model, not a curated record.